Molecule: ribosomal RNA, 419 nt
Filed under: uncultured bacterium
Lineage: Bacteria
Description: bacterial SSU rRNA
Rfam family: Bacterial small subunit ribosomal RNA
Source: RNAcentral
UAUUGGUCAAUGGGCGGGAGCCUGAACCAGCCAAGUCGCGUGAGGGAAGACGGUCCUAUGGAUUGUAAACCUCUUUAGGCGGGGAGCAAUGCCGGGCACGCGUGCCCGGAGGGAGAGUACCCGCAGAAUAAGCAUCGGCUAACUCCGUGCCAGCAGCCGCGGUAAUACGGAGGAUGCGAGCGUUAUCCGGAUUUAUUAGGUUUAAAGGGUGCGUAGGCUGUGAGGUAAGUCAGCGGUGAAAUGCCCCCGCUCAACGGGGUGAAGUGCCAUUGAUACUGCCUUGCUGGAAUGCGGAUGCCGUGGGAGGAAUGUGUGGUGUAGCGGUGAAAUGCAUAGAUAUCACACAGAACACCGAUUGCGAAGGCAUCUCACGAAUCCGCGAUUGACGCUGAUGCACGAAAGCGUGGGUAUCAAACAGG